Molecule: long non-coding RNA, 776 nt
Filed under: Physcomitrium patens
Lineage: Eukaryota; Viridiplantae; Streptophyta; Bryopsida; Funariales; Funariaceae
Description: long non-coding RNA (PPAT_LNC011816)
Source: RNAcentral
UAAUAAUUUUAUAUAUAUAAACUCCUCUCCUUUGGAGCAAUUACAUCAAUAUACAAGCCUUAAAAUCCAAAGAUCACCAAAAUACUUGAUAAGGUGUUAUAAAUAACUUAUAUAUCCUUAUGAGGAAUUUUUCCCGAAGUUCAACAGCUCAUAACUUACGAUCUAACCGUCUAAACAACUCCAAAGUUUACAUGAAGUACUGAUAUAUCUUUAGCAACUACCACACCAAAAUUCAACCGUAAAUUCGUCUUGGAUCUUGUGAUAUCUUGAAAUUCCUAACUGUAGCUUCAAACCCUAGCUUUUUUACACCCGUGUACAACUUCCUUCAUAACUCACAAAGUAAUUAUUCAAAUACUAUGAAACUUUGAUCUAAAGCUUCUUAACCCAAUUACACACACUUGUGGAAAUUUUGAGCCAAAAAUUCGUCCAAAAACUCAAGAUAUGGCUUCACCCAUAACUAGCAACAAAACGAUAUACUUACUGCCUUCAAAUUACAAGUGCUAUCUUCAACGCCUCAUAACUCCUUCACCCAAUCUUAGAAUUCACUAUACAGUAAGUAGAAUGUGUAGCCGAGAAAAUGCUCCCUCCAAAUCCAGUCGCCGAUCUUCCGUUGCUCUCCGUAUUCGUAUGUGAUGCCCAAAAGAAGUGACAGUAGGUACGAAAUUGACACCUUAUCUUUGAACAUUCAUAUCUUUUCCAUAAAAACUCGAAAUCACACAAAAUCUUCACCCAAAUUAUACCCAAAACCCUAAACCUUCUGACCCUAGCCUCAAAAG